Sus scrofa (pig) is the source of this 342-nucleotide non-coding RNA. It matches the Rfam family "7SK RNA". Rfam says of the family: 7SK was discovered as an abundant small nuclear RNA in the mid-70s but a possible function has only recently been suggested. Two independent studies have found that 7SK RNA binds the CDK9/cyclin T complex (known as elongation factor P-TEFb). P-TEFb activates transcription by phosphorylating the C-terminal domain of RNA polymerase II. Lineage: Eukaryota; Metazoa; Chordata; Mammalia; Artiodactyla; Suidae. The record is from Rfam.
UGAGAGGGCAAUCUGACUGCGACAUCCGUCACCCCAUUGAUUGCCAGAGUUGAUUGGCCUGACCUGGCUGGCUAAGCGGCUUUCCUCUUUCUCCCUGAGCGCUCCAGCAUGUGCUCCAGAAGCUGCACGCUGGUGGAGGAGGGCAACCUUCCCUGACAGAGGAGGAUUUUUCUUCAGUCAAGUGUUUGUAGGCAACUGUGCUCUCCUACCUGAACCUCCAAAUAAACUCUUAAGGUCUAAGCUUUCAAGGUCUGUUGGUAGGAGAAAAUAGAAUAAUCAAGCCACCAAGGCUCCAGACACACCCAGAUGAAGUCCAGCAAGCAUCCUCUUCUUCUUUUUUCU